ACAUGGGUGAUAAGGUCCGUGUUCGAAAGGGAAACAGCCCAGACCACCAGCUAAGGUCCCAAAAUAUAUGUUAAGUGGAAAAGGAUGUGGCGUUGCCCAGACAACUAGGAUGUUGGCUUAGAAGCAGCCAUCAUUUAAAGAGUGCGUAAUAGCUCACUAGUCGAGUGACACUGCGCCGAAAAUGUACCGGGGCUAAACAUAUUACCGAAGCUGUGGAUUGUCCUUUGGACAAUGGUAGGAGAGCGUUCUAAGGGCGUUGAAGCAUGAUCGUAAGGACAUGUGGAGCGCUUAGAAGUGAGAAUGCCGGUGUGAGUAGCGAAAGACGGGUGAGAAUCCCGUCCACCGAUUGACUAAGGUUUCCAGAGGAAGGCUCGUCCGCUCUGGGUUAGUCGGGUCCUAAGCUGAGGCCGACAGGCGUAGGCGAUGGAUAACAGGUUGAUAUUCCUGUACCACCUAUAAUCGUUUUAAUCGAUGGGGGGACGCAGUAGGAUAGGCGAAGCGUGCGAUUGGAUUGCACGUCUAAGCAGUAAGGCUGAGUAUUAGGCAAAUCCGGUACUCGUUAAGGCUGAGCUGUGAUGGGGAGAAGACAUUGUGUCUUCGAGUCGUUGAUUUCACACUGCCGAGAAAAGCCUCUAGAUAGAAAAUAGGUGCCCGUACCGCAAACCGACACAGGUAGUCAAGAUGAGAAUUCUAAGGUGAGCGAGCGAACUCUCGUUAAGGAACUCGGCAAAAUGACCCCGUAACUUCGGGAGAAGGGGUGCUCUUUAGGGUUAACGCCCAGAAGAGCCGCAGUGAAUAGGCCCAAGCGACUGUUUAUCAAAAACACAGGUCUCUGCUAAACCGUAAGGUGAUGUAUAGGGGCUGACGCCUGCCCGGUGCUGGAAGGUUAAGAGGAGUGGUUAGCUUCUGCGAAGCUACGAAUCGAAGCCCCAGUAAACGGCGGCCGUAACUAUAACGGUCCUAAGGUAGCGAAAUUCCUUGUCGGGUAAGUUCCGACCCGCACGAAAGGCGUAAC
Molecule: ribosomal RNA, 1015 nt
Filed under: Staphylococcus aureus
Lineage: Bacteria; Bacillati; Bacillota; Bacilli; Caryophanales; Staphylococcaceae
Description: partial 23S ribosomal RNA
Rfam family: Bacterial large subunit ribosomal RNA
Source: RNAcentral